UUAAAUAUUAAUUUAUUAAAUUUAAAAAAAUUGACGGUAUUUUAAAUUUAGAUGAACUUAAAUUUUAAUUUGAUAAUCCACAUUUAAACUUACUAAUAUUUAUAUUUUUAUAUAUUACUGUUUAAAUUUAAUUAUUUAAUUAAAAUUUAAAAUUUUAUAUUAAAAAAAUUCAAGUCAAAAUAUAAAUUAUAAAUUAGAACAUUAAGAGUUACUUUGAAAUUUAAAUAAUUUAAUUUACAAAUAAUUAAAUUUAAAUAUUUAAAUAAAUUUAAAUUUUAAUUUAAUUAGAAUUUAAUAAUAAAAAUUUUUAAAUAAAAAUUUUAAAAAUUACAUUUAAAAUAUGUACAUAUUGCCCGUCAUUUUUAUAAAAUUAUUAUUAUAAAACAAGUCGUAACAAAGUAAUUUUACUGGAAAGUUAAAUUAGAAUU
Molecule: ribosomal RNA, 428 nt
Filed under: Dolichogenidea sp. n. SNS-2016
Lineage: Eukaryota; Metazoa; Arthropoda; Insecta; Hymenoptera; Braconidae
Description: 12S ribosomal RNA
Source: RNAcentral